UUCCGGUUGAUCCUGCCGGACCUUACUGCUAUCGGGGUGGGACUAAGACAUGCGAGUCGAGCGUCUCUAGCUAUGUUGAGACGCGGCAGACGGCUCAGUAACACGUGGCUAACCUACCCUCAGGACAAGGAUAAACCCGGGAAACUGGGGCUAAUACUUGAUAGGCGAAGAUGCCUGGAAUGGUUUUUCACCUAAAGGGCUUUAGAAACAUGCUUCUAAAGUCGCCUGAGGAUGGGGCCGCGUCCGAUCAGGUUGUUGGUGAGGUAACGGCUCACCAAGCCUAUAACCGGUACGGGCCGUGAGAGCGGUAGCCCGGAGAUGGGUACUGAGACAAGGACCCAGGCCCUACGGGGCGCAGCAGUCGCGAAAACUCCGCAAUGCACGAAAGUGUGACGGGGCUACCCCGAGUGCCAUCCGCUGAGGAUGGCUUUUCUUUGGUAUAACUAGCCAGGGGAAUAAGGAGAGGGCAAGACUGGUGUCAGCCGCCGCGGUAAUACCAGCUCUCCGAGUGGUAGGGAUGAUUAUUGGGCUUAAAGCGUCCGUAGCCGGCUUAGCAAGUCUCCUGUUAAACUCAGCGACCUAAUCGUUGAAUCGCGGGAGAUACUACUAGGCUAGGAGGCGGGAGAGGUCGACGGUACUUCUGGGGUAGGGGUGAAAUCCUAUAAUCCCGGGAGGACCACCAGUGGCGAAGGCUGUCGACUAGAACGCGCUCGACGGUGAGGGACGAAAGCUGGGGGAGCGAACCGGAUUAGAUACCCGGGUAGUCCCAGCCGUAAACGAUGCGGGCUAGGUGUUGGGAUGGCUACGUGCCAUCUCAGUGCCGCAGGGAAGCCAUUAAGCCCGCCGCCUGGGGAGUACGGCCGCAAGGCUGAAACUUAAAGGAAUUGGCGGGGGAGCACCACAAGGCGUGAAGCUUGCGGUUCAAUUGGAUUCAACGCCGGG
Molecule: ribosomal RNA, 942 nt
Filed under: uncultured archaeon
Lineage: Archaea
Description: bacterial SSU rRNA
Rfam family: Archaeal small subunit ribosomal RNA
Source: RNAcentral